RNAcentral lists this ribosomal RNA (329 nucleotides) under uncultured eukaryote. RNAcentral's name for it is "partial 18S ribosomal RNA". It matches the Rfam family "Eukaryotic small subunit ribosomal RNA", at positions 1470 to 1796 of the family's 1831-position model. The record is from RNAcentral.
CCCUUAGAUGUUCUGGGCUGCACGCGCGCUACACUGAUGCGCUCAACGAGUUUAUGACCUUGCCCGGAAGGGUUGGGUAAUCUUCUUAAAACGCAUCGUGAUGGGGAUAGAUUAUUGCAAUUAUUAAUCUUCAACGAGGAAUUCCUAGUAAGCGCGAGUCAUCAGCUCGUGCUGAUUACGUCCCUGCCCUUUGUACACACCGCCCGUCGCACCUACCGAUUGAAUGACUCGGUGAAAAAUCGGGACUGUGGUCUAGCUUGCUUAAUUGCAAACUUGACUGUGGGAACUUUCUUUAACCUAUUCAUUUAGAGGAAGGUGAAGUCGUAACA